RNAcentral lists this ribosomal RNA (211 nucleotides) under uncultured bacterium. Its description in RNAcentral is "partial 16S ribosomal RNA". It matches the Rfam family "Bacterial small subunit ribosomal RNA", at positions 524 to 733 of the family's 1533-position model. The record is from RNAcentral.
UACAGAGGGUGCGAGCGUUAAUCGGAAUUACUGGGCGUAAAGCGUGCGUAGACGGUAGCGUAAGUCAGAUGUGAAAGCCCCGGGCUCAACCUGGGAAUUGCAUUUGAGACUGCUCUGCUCGGGUGCGGAAGAGGGAAGCGGAAUUUCCGGUGUAGCGGUGAAAUGCGUAGAUAUCGGAAGGACACCAGUGGCGAAAGCGGACAUUCCUCGG